This is a non-coding RNA of Camelina sativa (false flax), 1075 nucleotides long. Lineage: Eukaryota; Viridiplantae; Streptophyta; Magnoliopsida; Brassicales; Brassicaceae. The record is from RefSeq and is a predicted model, not a curated record.
UCCCUUGGCUCCUCCUUGUUCUCUCUCCGGCGUCUCCGCUACAGUCUCCUCCCCAGAUUGAGAGCAAUGUACAAAUCUUCUCCAGUUCUGUUCUUUCGACAGUCGUUAGUAACGCAGUGUUGUUGCCUCUAACUACCCAUAACAACAUCUCUUUCAAAUCCGGCUUAAUUUGAAUUUCCCGAGUCGAGGGUUCUUCAGGGAUCGAAUCAUUCAAGUGGGUUAGUUGGAGAAAUUCGAAAUUGGGUCCGACUGGUGUUUCCUGUAGAAGACGGUGUGUGUAUGUGUGUGUGUGUGUAGAAACUUGGAGUUAUAAUGGAGACUUGAGUGAUCACAAUAUCAGAGCUUUCAUUGGCGGCCAAGCUCACACUCUUAUUUUCGCCGACUGCAGGAUCAUCAUCAUGUUGGUUGAAGCAAUGUGCGAUGGCUUUCUUCAUGGGUUUGUACAUCGGUUAUGUGCUGCAUGCAUUGCAAUUCUGUUAAUUCCCGUCCUGACAUGUUGAAGUCAUUAUAUUCUCCUCUUCAGCAUUUACCAACAAUCUGAUCAUGGAAGCACACCUCAGGUUUCGUGCACCAAUACUCCUCAGGUUGAUCUCGCAAAUCUUUUAGCUGCUCGAGAUCAAGAGCUUAGGACACUUUCAGCUGAGAUGAAUCAACUUCAAUCUGAGCUAUGGCUUGCUCGUUCAUUGAUAGACGAGAGAGAUGCAGAUGGGUGCAGCGUGUCAGCAGUACCAGUAUUGUAGGGAAUAUCUUUACACUUAUUGAAGAUUCUAAGUUUGUUUGUGGUUGAAGAAAACGAAAGGCUGAGAGCAAUUUUGAGUGAAUGAAGCAUGCAGGUAGAAAAUCUUGAGAGAAGUGGUGCAACUACCGAGAGAAGUUGCAGGCCGCUGUAGAAAAUAGAUGCCUUACACAUCUGAGCGCCGAGUUCGCCAACCAGAGGAAUCUCUAAUGCCGAAUCAAUCCAAUGCCGGCGGAGCUAUUACUCAAGUUUUGGUGUCAAUCUCGAGGAGAGUAAUGCAAAAAGAAAUUCUAUUGACGAUGCUCCACAACAUGACAUUGCCAUUGUCGGUGGUGGAAU